Long non-coding RNA from Melospiza melodia melodia, 388 nucleotides. RefSeq lists it as uncharacterized. NCBI's taxonomy places the organism in Eukaryota, Metazoa, Chordata, Aves, Passeriformes, Passerellidae. The record is from RefSeq and is a predicted model, not a curated record. The transcript is spliced from 3 exons.
UGGAGCUGGAAUGCCUCUCCAAGUUUGAGAUUCUUUACCUGAGAUCAAGACAUCCUUCCUUACUCCAAGCAGAGAGAUACCUUCCUUGCAACACAUCCUCUGUAAGGACCAUUACUGCUGGCUCACCCUCCCAAACUGGAACUCAGUCCCCAGGCUCGGCUGGCCAGAUGUGGUCUCUGUGGUCACUCUGCCUCCAAAACAUGCGUGAUCUGCAGGCAGAGGUGGAGAUGUGGCAUCAGUGCUGGGUUCACCCUCUGAGCCACCAACGCCCUGCUCAGCCCUCGGGGAGCGGUCCCCAGCCCAACUUCAGCGAUGGGGGCUCCCUUCUCUCUCCUGCUCACAACUGAGGUGUCAUUUCCCCUGCUCACAUCCAUUCUGCAGCACUGGU